UUAAACGGCCGCGGUAUCCUAACCGUGCAAAGGUAGCAUAAUCACUUGUCCCCUAAAUAGGGACUAGAAUGAACGGCUACAUGAGGACUAACCUGUCUCUUGCAUUCAAUCAAUGAAAUUGAUCUCUCAGUCCAAAAGCUGAAAUAACCCCAUAAGACGAGAAGACCCUGUGGAGCUUAUUAAACUAAGCCCACCGACAUGAUACGCCUAGUUUUCAGUUGGGGCGACUUCGGAGCACAAAAAACCCUCCAAAUUAAUCCAACCAGAUUAACACAUCGACACCUCCUUUGACCCAGUAGUUUUAACCCUCCUACCUGAUCAAUGAAACAAGUUACCCCAGGGAUAACAGCGCCAUCCCCUUCAAGAGUCCCCAUCGACAAGGGGGUUUACGACCUCGAUGUUGGAUCAGGACACCCAAAUAGUGCAUCCGCUAUUAACGGUUCGUUUGUUCAACGAUUAA
This 460-nucleotide ribosomal RNA is filed under the name Nucras tessellata. RNAcentral's name for it is "16S rRNA". It matches the Rfam family "Bacterial large subunit ribosomal RNA", at positions 1923 to 2591 of the family's 2925-position model. Lineage: Eukaryota; Metazoa; Chordata; Lepidosauria; Squamata; Lacertidae. The record is from RNAcentral.